RNAcentral lists this ribosomal RNA (1345 nucleotides) under uncultured bacterium. Its description in RNAcentral is "bacterial SSU rRNA". It matches the Rfam family "Bacterial small subunit ribosomal RNA", at positions 28 to 1381 of the family's 1533-position model. The record is from RNAcentral.
GACGAACGCUGGCGGCGUGCUUAACACAUGCAAGUCGAACGAUGAAGCGGUGCUUGCACCGUGGAUUAGUGGCGAACGGGUGAGUAAUACGUGAGUGACCUACCUUUGACUCUGGGAUAGGCCUGGGAAACUGGGUCUAAUACCGGAUACGACCAAUCUCUGCAUGGGGUGUUGGUGGAAAGCGUUAUGGAGUGGUUUUAGAUGGGCUCACGGCCUAUCAGCUUGUUGGUGAGGUAAUGGCUUACCAAGGCGACGACGGGUAGCCGGCCUGAGAGGGUGACCGGCCACACUGGGACUGAGACACGGCCCAGACUCCUACGGGAGGCAGCAGUGGGGAAUAUUGCACAAUGGGCGCAAGCCUGAUGCAGCGACGCCGCGUGAGGGAUGACGGCCUUCGGGUUGUAAACCUCUGUUAGCAUCGAAGAAGCGAAAGUGACGGUAGGUGCAGAGAAAGCGCCGGCUAACUACGUGCCAGCAGCCGCGGUAAUACGUAGGGCGCGAGCGUUGUCCGGAAUUAUUGGGCGUAAAAGCUUGUAGGCGGUUGGUCGCGUCUGCUGUGAAAGGCCGGGGCUUAACUCCGGUUUUGCAGUGGGUACGGGCUAACUAGAGUGCAGUAGGGGAGACUGGAAUUCCUGGUGUAGCGGUGGAAUGCACAGAUAUCAGGAGGAACACCGAUGGCGAAGGCAGGUCUCUGGGCUGUAACUGACGCUGAGAAGCGAAAGCAUGGGGAGCGAACAGGAUUAGAUACCCUGGUAGUCCAUGCCGUAAACGUUGGGCACUAGGUGUGGGGGACAUUCCACGUUUUCCGCGCCGUAGCUAACGCAUUAAGUGCCCCGCCUGGGGAGUACGGCCGCAAGGCUAAAACUCAAAGGAAUUGACGGGGGCCCGCACAAGCGGCGGAGCAUGCGGAUUAAUUCGAUGCAACGCGAAGAACCUUACCAAGGCUUGACAUGCAUUAGAUCGCGUCAGAGAUGGCGUUUCCCUUCGGGGCUGGUGUACAGGUGGUGCAUGGUUGUCGUCAGCUCGUGUCGUGAGAUGUUGGGUUAAGUCCCGCAACGAGCGCAACCCUCGUUCUAUGUUGCCAGCGGUUCGGCCGGGGACUCAUAGGAGACUGCCGGGGUCAACUCGGAGGAAGGUGGGGAUGACGUCAAAUCAUCAUGCCCCUUAUGUCUUGGGCUUCACGCAUGCUACAAUGGCCGGUACAGAGGGUUGCGAUACUGUGAGGUGGAGCUAAUCCCUUAAAGCCGGUCUCAGUUCGGAUUGGGGUCUGCAACUCGACCCCAUGAAGUCGGAGUCGCUAGUAAUCGCAGAUCAGCAACGCUGCGGUGAAUACGUUCCCGGGCCU